This 773-nucleotide ribosomal RNA is filed under the name uncultured Neocallimastigales. Its description in RNAcentral is "partial large subunit ribosomal RNA". It matches the Rfam family "Eukaryotic large subunit ribosomal RNA", at positions 23 to 634 of the family's 3401-position model. Lineage: Eukaryota; Fungi; Neocallimastigomycota; Neocallimastigomycetes; Neocallimastigales. The record is from RNAcentral.
AGAGAGAGACAUGCGCGCAUAUCAAUAAGCGGAGGAAAAGAAACUAACAAGGAUUCCCUUAGUAACGGCGAGUGAAGCGGGAAGAGCUCAAAUUUGAAAUCUUCAAGGUUUUACCUUGACGAAUUGUAGUUUAAAGAAGUGUUUUCUGUUGGAGUUUUGGUAAAAGUUCUUUGGAAUAGGACAUCAUAGAGGGUGAGAAUCCCGUAUUUGACCAUUAUUUUCAGCUUUGUGAUACACUUUCAAAGAGUCGGAUUGUUUGGGAAUGCAGUCCAAAAUGGGUGGUAAAUUUCAUCUAAAGCUAAAUAUUGGCGAGAGACCGAUAGCGAACAAGUACCGUGAGGGAAAGAUGAAAAGAACUUUGAAAAGAGAGUUAAACAGUACGUGAAAUUGUCAAAGGGAAGCGUUUGACACCAGUGUUGUUUUCUCGAAAAUCAAUUAAAAAUGGCUCGAUUUUGUAUUGUUGAGACCUUAAAAGCUCACUGUACAUUUUUCGUGUCUUUUUUAAUGCACUUUUCGUUUAACAAGUCAACAUCAGUUUCUUUUGUUGUAAAAGGGUCAUUGGAAGGUGGCUUUCUUUUCGGAGAAAGUGUUUAUAGCCUUUGGCCUCUGCAAUCGGAGAGACUGAGGUCUGCAGCGUAGACUCUUCGGGGUUAGAUACAUUUGUGCUAAGUUAUAGCUUUUUAUAGACAACUUGUUGACUAUAAUUAGUCUUGUAGCUUACUCGCUUAUGCUAUUUUACCUACGCUUAGGAUGUUGAAGAUGUAGCACAUCAU